RNAcentral lists this ribosomal RNA (273 nucleotides) under uncultured bacterium. RNAcentral's name for it is "partial 16S ribosomal RNA". It matches the Rfam family "Bacterial small subunit ribosomal RNA", at positions 524 to 796 of the family's 1533-position model. The record is from RNAcentral.
UACGAAGGGUGCAAGCGUUGUUCGGAAUCAUUGGGCGUAAAGCGCGCGCAGGCGGAUUGAUAAGUCAGGUGUGAAAUCUCGGGGCUCAACCUCGAAACUGCGCCUGAAACUAUUAGUCUAGAAUGUCGGAGGGGGCAGGGGAAUUUCACGUGUAGGGGUAAAAUCCGUAGAGAUGUGAAGGAACACCGGAGGCGAAGGCGCCUGCCUGGACGACUAUUGACGCUGAGGCGCGAAAGCGUGGGGAGCAAACAGGAUUAGAAACCCCCGUAGUCC